UACGUAGGGUCCGAGCGUUGUCCGGAUUUAUUGGGCGUAAAGAGCUCGUAGGCGGCUUGUCACGUCGGAUGUGAAAGCCCGGGGCUUAACCCCGGGUCUGCAUUCGAUACGGGCAGGCUAGAGUUCGGUAGGGGAGAUCGGAAUUCCUGGUGUAGCGGUGAAAUGCGCAGAUAUCAGGAGGAACACCGGUGGCGAAGGCGGAUCUCUGGGCCGAUACUGACGCUGAGGAGCGAAAGCGUGGGGAGCGAACAGG
This 253-nucleotide ribosomal RNA is filed under the name uncultured bacterium. Its description in RNAcentral is "partial 16S ribosomal RNA". It matches the Rfam family "Bacterial small subunit ribosomal RNA", at positions 524 to 776 of the family's 1533-position model. The record is from RNAcentral.